This 315-nucleotide long non-coding RNA is filed under the name Cyanistes caeruleus (blue tit). RNAcentral's name for it is "lncRNA (ENSCCEG00000019345.1)". The record is from RNAcentral. Lineage: Eukaryota; Metazoa; Chordata; Aves; Passeriformes; Paridae.
UGAGAGUCAGAGAAUAAGGGAGAGCUGUAGCCCCUGGAGAGGAGUAGAACUAAGGAGUGGGCCUAAAAGACUGAGAAGAGUGUUGAGAGGAAUUGCCCAAGACACUCCUGUAGAACACUAACCACUGGAGAGGGAUGGUCCACUGGGUGACGAAAGGUCCAGACUGAGAGCUGGGAAAUCUACAGCAGCCAGAGGCUUUCAGCUGACAUUUUCUGGAAGCUAUGCUGAUGAUGCUUGUAAGAUUGAGGGAAGUGCUCUAAGGAGUGAGAAUAUUAUGCAGUAAUUAAUAAAAGAAGUUGAAAGGUGAGUAGGAGC